This is a long non-coding RNA of Quercus lobata, 874 nucleotides long. RefSeq lists it as uncharacterized. The transcript has 3 exons. Lineage: Eukaryota; Viridiplantae; Streptophyta; Magnoliopsida; Fagales; Fagaceae. The record is from RefSeq and is a predicted model, not a curated record.
GGCGUUGCAAUUAAGAAAACCCUACUUCAUCAGAUGCUUAAUAUUUUCUCUCUCUGAACAAAAAAACAAGCGAUACUGCGAUACAGAGAAAGGGAAGGAGGAAAAAAAAAAAAAACUUGCAAUCCAGUGAAGAAUUGUGCGAUCAAACGUUUGUCCCAGAGGUAUUGAAAGAGAGGCGAUGAAAUCAAGAGAGAGGCUAUGAAGACACGGAGAAAGAAAUAGAAAAAGAGAGAAGCGAUGAAGACACAGUGAAACAAAUAGAAAAAGAGAGAGGCGAUCCUGGUACAUGGAGAAAGAAGAGAUUGCCUCUCUGUUUAUGACAGAACGGCUCUCUGCCCACAAACAACGCCUCUGAUGGACUCUAUUCUUUUUCUAAUUUAUUUAUAGAAAUAGAGAAAGAGAGGCGAUGAGGCCUGGGACAUAGAGAAAGAGGCAGAGUUCAGUUUCCCCACCACUGUCCGUUCCCUUUCCAGAUUUAGACCACCAGAUUGCCGGAACCGACAUCGACAAUGGUAACUAUCGACUGUCAUUCACAUAGGCAACAAAGCUCUACAUCAACUUUGACAUUCCAAAAGUCACAAGGAAAUUAUGCCAAAAGGACCUCCUAAAGGACUGGAUGGAUAACUUUCUUACAUAAUAGAAAAAUAGUUGCUGAAAUAGAAGACUUGGAAGCAUAAAAAAUGCUUAAGAAUUAUGCACCAAGUUCUCUUCUUCGUACCCUUUUCUUAUUUACUUAAUUUUCUGUUUUAUUUCAGAUUAUGAGAGAUUUAAUUUUCUGUAUUUAGGCUAUGGUUUUGUAAUCUGAGCAUCCUAAGACUCUUAUAUCAACAUGAAUUUAAGUUUUGUAAUAUAUGUGAUUCUAAUUUUGAACUUA